GCAAAAGCAGACAUGGCGUGAUGUUGAUCUGGCUCAUAUUUAAGUAUAAGUGUAUCUUAUCAACUUCAGAUGAGCCGAAUCAAUAUCACUCUUGUCUUCUUUUUUGC
Molecule: microRNA precursor, 107 nt
Filed under: Lotus japonicus
Lineage: Eukaryota; Viridiplantae; Streptophyta; Magnoliopsida; Fabales; Fabaceae
Source: RNAcentral